Molecule: ribosomal RNA, 574 nt
Filed under: Echinococcus granulosus
Lineage: Eukaryota; Metazoa; Platyhelminthes; Cestoda; Cyclophyllidea; Taeniidae
Rfam family: Eukaryotic small subunit ribosomal RNA
Source: RNAcentral
UGGACGAUACCGUCUGUCACGGGUGCGCAGUUUGCGCUCCUCCCUCCUCUUGCGUUUCUGCGUGAGAAUUGGGGGGUGGAGGUGCGGGUUGACGCUCGUGGUUGGUUAGUCUGGCGUUGGCCUGCGGGUGCGGCGCGAAUGCUUACUUCUUAGAGGGACAAGCGGGAGAAGCCGCGCGAGAUAGAGCAAUAACAGGUCUGUGAUGCCCUUAGAUGUCCGGGGCCGCACGCGCGCUACAAUGACGGUGUCAACGAGUGGGACCUUCUGGCCCGAGAGGGUUGGGCAAACUGGUCAAUCACCGUCGUGACAGGGAUCGGGGCUUGGAAUUGUUCCCCGUGAACGAGGAAUUCCUAGUAAGUGCAGGUCAUAAGCUUGCGCUGAUUACGUCCCUGCCCUUUGUACACACCGCCCGUCGCUACUACCGAUUGAGUGGUUUAGUAAGAUCCUUGGAUCGGCGUCAUUGUGGCAGUUGCCGGAAGGUCAUUGUCCUGCAGUCGCUGAGAAGACGACCAAACUUGAUCAUUUAGAGGAAGUAAAAGUCGUAACAAGGUUUCCGUAGGUGAACCUGCGGAAG